GAUCCUGGCUCAGAACGAACGCUGGCGGCGCGUCUUAAGCAUGCAAGUCGAACGGCAAGAGGUAGCAAUACCUCCUAGAGUGGCGGACUGGUGAGUAACACGUGGGUGACAUACCCUUCAGAUGGGGAUAGCUAUUAGAAAUAGUAGAUAAUACCGAAUACGAGCACAGGGGUUAGAGAUCUGUGAGGAAAGGAGCUAAGGCUCCGCUGAAGGAAUGGCCUGCGGCCCAUUAGCUAGUUGGUGAGGUAAGAGCCCACCAAGGCGAUGAUGGGUAUCCGGCCUUAGAGGGUGAACGGACACAUUGGGACUGAGAUACGGCCCAGACUCCUACGGGAGGCAGCAGCUAAGAAUAUUCCGCAAUGGACGAAAGUCUGACGGAGCGACGCCGCGUGGAUGAAGAAGGCCGGAAGGUUGUAAAAUCCUUUUGAAACUGAAGAAUAAGCGUUGUAGGGAAUGACAGCGUGGUGACAGUAGGUUUUGAAUAAGCAACGGCUAAUUACGUGCCAGCAGCAGC
RNAcentral lists this ribosomal RNA (514 nucleotides) under uncultured bacterium. RNAcentral describes it as "bacterial SSU rRNA". It matches the Rfam family "Bacterial small subunit ribosomal RNA", at positions 15 to 518 of the family's 1533-position model. The record is from RNAcentral.